CAGGUCUCCUCUUUAUGGUCUCUGGCUCAUCACCAGGUCUCCUCUUUAUGGUCUCUGGCUCAUCACCAGGUCUCCUCUUUAUGGUCUCUGGCUCAUCACCAGGUCUCCUCUUUAUGGUCUCUGGCUCAUCACCAGGUCUCCUCUUUAUGGUUUCUGGCUCAUCACCUGGUCUCCUCUUUAUGGUUUCUGGCUCAUCACCUGGUCUCCUCUUUAUGGUUUCUGGCUCAUCACCUGGUCUCCUCUUUAUGGUUUCUGGCUCAUCACCUGGUCUCCUCUUUAUGGUUUCUGGCUCAUCACCAGGUCUCCUCUUUAUGGUUUCUGGCUCAUCACCAGGUCUCCUCUUUAUUCCCUCUGGCUCAUCACCAGGUCUCCUCUUUAUGGUCUCUGGCUCAUC
Non-coding RNA from Procambarus clarkii (red swamp crayfish), 394 nucleotides. Lineage: Eukaryota; Metazoa; Arthropoda; Malacostraca; Decapoda; Cambaridae. The record is from RefSeq and is a predicted model, not a curated record.